AAAUAAUAAAUAGCAAGGUAAAUAAUUUAUCAAUCUAAUAGAAUAUUAUACACCAAUUUUAAAUUAUUGCUAUCAAGCCCAUGUGGUGACAUGGAAAGAAAUAUUUUAAUAUAAGCUUUUAGAAAACCUACCAUUUGGCCAGGUGUGGUGGCUCACACCUGUAAUCCCAGCACUUUGGGAGGCCGAGGCGGACGGAUCACGUGAGCUCAGGAGUUCAAUAUCAGCCUGGCCAACAUGGUGAAACCAGUCUCUACUAAAAAUAGAAAAAUUAGUUGGGCAUGGUGCUAUACACCUGUAGUGCCAGGUACUCAGGUGUCUGAGACACAAGAAUAGAAUCGCUUAAACCUAGGAGGCAGAGGUUGCAGUGAGCUGAGAUCGUGCCACUGCACUCCAGCCUUGGCAACAAAGGGAGAUUGUCUCAAAAAAAAAAAAAAAAAUGAAAUUUCCAGCUGGGUGUGGUGGUUCACACCUGUAAUCCCAGCACUUUGGGAAGCUGAGAUGGGAGGAUCCCUUGAGGCCAGGAGUUUGAGACCAGUCUGGGCAACAUAGUUGAGACUUGUCUCUUUUAUUAAAAAAACAAAAUUUUAGCAGGGGAUGGUGGGUACAUACCUGUAGUCCCAGCCACUCUGGGCUAAGAUGGGAGGAUCACAGAAGCCCAGGAGAGGAGGUUGAGGCUGCAGUGAGCUAUAGUCAUACCACCACACUCCCACCUGAGCAACAGAGUGAGGCCCUGUCCCUUUAAUUAAAAAAAAAAAAAAAAAGUUAAAAUAAAAAUUCAGAUUUCCCUGUCUCAUUGAAAGUUUCAUUUUUAUUUUUUAAAAAUAAAAGUAUUAGUCUUUGUUUAAUUCAAGGGAGAUAUUUAUUGAGCGAAUACUUGAAAUUACAUUUACAUGGAUGGGAACAGUGCCUAUUGUUUUACCAAACAAUAAAGUCGUGAAAUGGAGUCACUUUUAAGGAGGGGCCAGGCAAUUUCUGGCUGGGUGUGUUUGUUUUCAUUGUCUUUUUUGUGUUUUGCAAAAGCCAGCCAGUGUCAAUCUUAUAAAAGCAGAGUUUCUAAGAAAUAUUAGUUUUAAAAUGCAAUUGCCACCAUCAAUGCCUUCCCUUCCAGCUGAGAAUCUGAAUUUAUGACUUCUAAUAUUAGUUGGUUUUAAAAUGCAAUGCCACCAUUGGUGCGUUCCCUUCCAGCUGAGACAUCUGAAUUUAUGACUUCUACAAUCCUUUAUCUAUAUGAUCUCAGAAACAUGGAUUUUCAUCUUCAGAAACAGGAGCGAAGCUGGACUGAAAAUAAGAUCAUCUAUUUAUUUUUAAUCACAAAGACAUCCCUUCAUUAAAAUGGGCAUCUAUUUGUUUAGUUUGUCCCCUUUGCCAGUUACUGCUGUUUCAAAAACUGAAAUCGUGCCAACAGUAUUUUCUCUUUUGAGUUUUAUGUCUACAUUUGGACUAAUUCAGGGUCACUUAGUCCUUUUUGUCAUAUUCUACUGGCUAUUUAUAAUAGAUUUGUCCAGAAACUGUGUUGUACAAAAAUAAGGCAUUGUGCUUAAUUGCAGGAGUUUUCCUUUGCUAAUGUAUAUUCAUUAUUUGAAAAAAUUAAACGUUUCAAAGAAAAUAAAAAAUGCUUUUAAAAAAUUAUUUUGUUAUAUAUGGCUUAUAUCUCAACAUUUGGUCUUGAUUAUUUGCUUUUUAAACUCAUGACACUGUUUUCUCUAUUUUUUUCAUUGUCCUGCAAUUUCAGAGCAUGUGACUUCUAAUGCCAGCGAUAGUGAAAGUAGUUACCUAAUCUUGAUUACAGAUGAGUAUGGCUGCCCAAAAGGUGGUCAAGAAGAAUACGUCUUAUCUUAUGAACCAGUGAAUCAACAAGAAGUUAAUUAUACUCGACCAGUGAUCAUAUUGGGACCUAUGAAAGACAGGAUAAAUGAUGACUUGAUCUCAGAAUUUCCUGACAAAUUUGGAUCCUGUGUUCCUCAUACAACUAGACCAAAACGAGAUUAUGAGGUAGAUGGAAGAGAUUAUCAUUUUGUGACUUCAAGAGAGCAGAUGGAAAAAGAUAUCCAGGAACAUAAAUUCAUUGAAGCUGGCCAGUAUAACAAUCAUCUAUAUGGAACAAGUGUUCAGUCUGUGCGAGAAGUAGCAGAAAAGGGCAAACACUGUAUCCUUGAUGUGUCUGGAAAUGCCAUAAAGAGAUUACAGAUUGCACAGCUUUACCCUAUCUCCAUUUUUAUUAAACCCAAAUCCAUGGAAAAUAUCAUGGAAAUGAAUAAGCGUCUAACAGAAGAACAAGCCAGAAAAACAUUUGAGAGAGCUAUGAAACUGGAACAGGAGUUUACUGAACAUUUCACAGCUAUUGUACAGGGGGAUACGCUGGAAGACAUUUACAACCAAGUGAAACAGAUCAUAGAAGAACAGUCUGGUUCUUACAUCUGGGUUCCAGCAAAAGAAAAGUUAUGAAAACUCACGUUUCUCUGUUUAUCUUUUCCACAAUUCCAUUUUCUUUGGCAUCUCUUUGCCCUUUCCUCUGGAGUCUUUCUUGAGUACUGAUUUCAUAUUGAAUUGUAUCCCACACAUCAUGGUCUGCAGCUUCUUUUUCACAUGUAGUGUCUCCUUCAAGUUACAUCGCAUAUUAUUUAAUGUCACUAUUGGUUAGUGGCCAUGUUUCAGAACUGAAGAUGGAAUGGCCUGACCAGCUAUUAAGAAUUUGGGGAGACGCAGAAAUUGUGGUAAAAUUCCUUAAUGUUUAAGGGAAAGUAAUUUUAAGAGAUUUUUGGAAAAGCUUUAUAUACAUUCUUUUCAAAUUUCAGUACAAAUGAAAAAGUGGUUUUAAUCAGUGAUUUAGUAGACUGAGCAACUAUGCACGCUUAAGUUUAAUAGCAUGGUUUGGCCAAUGUAUUACUCUCAAGUCCUUUUCUCAAUCAGCUUCUAUCAUCAAAGCAAUUGUUGCAUUAUAGAGAAAUAAGGAAAACAUUUUUUAAUUUAAAAAUUCAUGUCUGAGUUGACUUUCAUAAGGGAUUUCAUUUUUCCUCAGCAUUCUUAAAGCCUUUUAGUAUUUGAGGGUUCUUUUUUCCCAGGACAUUUGCUAGGAAUAACAACGUUUCAAUGUUUUUAAUCUACUUGAGCAACACUAUCGUGUCUUACAAAAGUUGUUCAUAUGUAAAUGAUCAUCACAUUUUGUGAGUUGAGGCCAUGUUCAGGUGCUAAGGAAGUUCACCUUUUACACAGAAGGUUGAGAAGAUUUCCUAAUCAGACAUUACAGUGGUGAUGUAGUAACCAUAAUGGCAAUGGAAAGGAGCCCAAUCAUAGCCUAAAACUUAAAAUGUAUUCUUAGGAGUCAGAUUUUACUGAAUAUUUUACCCACAAUAGCUGCCUAUUUUGUUAUAAUAAAAUAUAUAUAAAUAUAUAUAUAAAACUUUCUUUAACUAAACUGUAACUAUGGGAAUUAUUUUCUUUACAUAGUUGCGCACACACACAAACAUAUAUAUAUAUAUAUUUAAAAUAUAUUUUGUUUCUUUUGCCACCUACUCCUUUUUGUUUGGUUUUUAAGUUAAAUAUUAAUUGAAUAGACUUAUCUUCCUUAAUCAUGUGAAAUUGGGGCAUGCAUGGUGGUCAUGAGGAGGAAACAUUUAGGGAAAUUAGAUUAUAAGUAAAAGUAUGGGCAUAUUCUCCUCUUUUCUACAAAAGUUUUCAAAUGGUUCCUGAGGUUUUUUUGUUGUUGUUCUUGUUAUUGUUGUUAUUGUUGUUCUUGUCACCUGGUUUGAUUUUGGUCCUUGCCCUUUCCUUCUAGUUCUCCUUUUAUUAAUAGGAGGGCAGGCAAAAGCCCCAUUUAUGUGUGUGUUUUCCCCUCAGACAGCUUUCAUCCACUGCUCUGCACUAGAAUUGCACAAAUCUUCAUGGUGAGCAAUUUUAAGAAUUGUUAGUGAAAGGUAGAAAUUAUUUCAGAAAUCAGUUUCUCUGGUCCUUCAUAUUAAUAAUAAUAUUUGGCUUCCCAUUGCUCUUUGGAGUUGUUUAUUAAAUAUGUGUUUUUGACAACCUC
Molecule: small RNA, 4024 nt
Filed under: Pongo abelii (Sumatran orangutan)
Lineage: Eukaryota; Metazoa; Chordata; Mammalia; Primates; Hominidae
Description: retained intron
Source: RNAcentral